Molecule: long non-coding RNA, 1159 nt
Organism: Planococcus citri (citrus mealybug)
Lineage: Eukaryota; Metazoa; Arthropoda; Insecta; Hemiptera; Pseudococcidae
Exons: 3
Source: RefSeq, a predicted model, not a curated record
AGUGUGCGUAGCACACUAUUGGUUUCGCUUUGAGAAAUGAAAUUUUAUUGGAACUGAAUGUUCUCUUAAGCUAUCCAACCGUUUUUUGUACCUAUUGGACACCAUUUGAGAAUCAUUAAGGCGGAGGGAAUAGAUUAAUUUUCAUUCAAUUCGGAUGGGUAAUUGCUGAGUAAUUGCAAUUUUAGUUCAUUAUUUUAAUGCAUUAAAUCCUAAAAAAGGGAAAAGGAGACUUGUAGAACACCUGCCGCUCAUUGUACCCUGCUAUACCCCCAGUCUAUUCCAUCACCAGCUGUGUUUCAUUGUACCCUGUUACACCCCCAGUCUGUUAGCUGUAAAUUCCAAGUGGGCGUGGUUUGGUGGGGCGUUUACCAAACAAAUAUAUUAUUUUAAUGCCCUAACCCUCGUAGCAAAGUUGUGGCUGAGUGGGUUAGGGCAUGUAGGUAGGAAUAGGAAAUUUAGGGACCCAGGUUCGAAUCCCCGUGAGGUAAGUACUAAAGCCCGGAACGAUGUCGUUAGUGAUGUAGUUAUAACAGCUAUCGCAUCGCUUAAAAGCGAUAUCCGUUAGUAAUCGGUAUCGCCAAAUAAAACCCGAACUUGUUAGUUGGUACAAUCACUUUUCAUAAAACGAUUAUUUCAGUAUCGUUUAUGCAUGGGCACAGAAAUCCUUAUCUGUUGCAUGAAUACAUGAAUGGUUGCGCACGCUUAUAUGAGCGCGGGGGUGUGUGAGUGUGUGAGUCAGUAUUCAAAAGUGUUUGCGAUAGCGAUACCAAAAGCGAUACUAACGACAUCGCUUCAAAUAAACCUGUUACUAACAGUAUCGUUAACAGUUUUGAAGUGAUGUCGUUGUAACGACUAACGACAUCGUUCCGGGCUUUAGUAAGUAGGUAGGUGACGGAUUUUUCAUAGGAAAAUUGGAUAGGUAAAUGCUUUGGAGUUACCUAUGUAGUACAUGAUAAUGGGGCAAACAUAAUGCUGAAAUUGAGUUAUGUGAAUUAUGAUAUCAUUUGCUAACUAAAAAUUCAUUUCAUUAAUUUUUUGUCUACCUAUAGCCAUAAGUAUAGUAAGAAUUACCUUGACAUGAAUAAUUUUUAACUUUUUACUUAUAAUUUAAAAAUUACUUCAAAAUGAGUAAUUAAACUAAUUUUUGUACAAUUGAAAC